Molecule: non-coding RNA, 24 nt
Filed under: Rattus norvegicus (Norway rat)
Lineage: Eukaryota; Metazoa; Chordata; Mammalia; Rodentia; Muridae
Source: RNAcentral
AUAGUCAGUGAGGGACAGACAGGC